GAUGUGGGGAGUGUAGCCUAGCUCGAGAGAUUGAUUUGAUACUAAGGCUACGCACACAAGGUUGUGAUCACAGCUUUGUCUCGGACCAGGCUUCAUUCCCCUCAGU
RNAcentral lists this microRNA precursor (106 nucleotides) under Selaginella moellendorffii. RNAcentral describes it as "pre miRNA mir-166". The record is from RNAcentral. Lineage: Eukaryota; Viridiplantae; Streptophyta; Lycopodiopsida; Selaginellales; Selaginellaceae.